CCCUGCUAUCUUGUCCGCGAGGGAACUUUUGUUAGGGAUAAUGUGGUUUCUGAGUUUGGAGUAUUUGGAGCCUACCUGAGGAACAAAGACAAGGUCAUUAUAAAUGAUAAGUGCGGUUAUUUGUUGAGGACCAAAGCAGCUUCACUAAAUGAAGGUGGGGUGGUUGCUGGAUAUGCGUUUUUGAAUAGCAUAUUUCUGACAUGACAAGGUUAUCCACAGAGCUACGCAGCGGAUCCAUAUGUAGUCGUUACAUUAGCAUGUGGAGGC
Molecule: long non-coding RNA, 267 nt
Organism: Triticum dicoccoides
Lineage: Eukaryota; Viridiplantae; Streptophyta; Magnoliopsida; Poales; Poaceae
Exons: 3
Source: RefSeq, a predicted model, not a curated record